UCCUUGGUGACUUAGAUGGUAAAGGAUCUGCCUGCAAUGCAGAAGACCCGGGUUCACUCCCUGGGUCGGGAA
Molecule: transfer RNA, 72 nt
Filed under: Bos taurus (domestic cattle)
Lineage: Eukaryota; Metazoa; Chordata; Mammalia; Artiodactyla; Bovidae
Also listed under: 2 other names
Rfam family: tRNA
About the family: Transfer RNA (tRNA) molecules are approximately 80 nucleotides in length. Their secondary structure includes four short double-helical elements and three loops (D, anti-codon, and T loops). Further hydrogen bonds mediate the characteristic L-shaped molecular structure. tRNAs have two regions of fundamental functional importance: the anti-codon, which is responsible for specific mRNA codon recognition, and the 3' end, to which the tRNAs corresponding amino acid is attached (by aminoacyl-tRNA synthetases). tRNAs cope with the degeneracy of the genetic code in two manners: having more than one tRNA (with a specific anti-codon) for a particular amino acid; and 'wobble' base-pairing, i.e. permitting non-standard base-pairing at the 3rd anti-codon position.
Source: Rfam by way of RNAcentral